AUGUUUUGUUUAACUACUGUAAACCACCCAAAUAGUUUAGGUUUGUGGUUAAAAAAGCCUGGUUCUAAGCUCUCAAGCUUCAGCUCUAAAAAUGCCCCAAAGAACCAGGUUCAGCAUGGUCUGAUUCCUAGGGGAUCUGGGUAUUUGGUUUCUAGGGAAUUAAAAAAAGCCCUCACGUGCUACUCACUUGUUCUUCUUGUGAAAGAUGCGAGAACACCAGCUAGAAAGAGUUGUCCCUUACUGUCUGGUAUUUUUAAUAAAAUGAGAAAUUUCUUCUCUGUAUGUUGUCUCGUGAAAUUACUUGUGAAAUUAACGUCAACUAGGAAACUAACUGCGGAGUUGCCUGCUCCAGAUGCAGCAAGCUUUUUGACAGCUGAUAAAGCACCUCUUCUGCCCCUGAUGUGCGCUGUGGCCACGCAGACCCCCGAGUUCCCCCUGCCCACCGCUGGGGCACAGUGGCCACCUUCUGCAGUUCCACUGGUGGAAACAGCCCUCGGGCUGCCUCCCACUCCUGCCAGGCAUGGUACAUCUCUGCCUACUUGCGAAACAAAUUCUUUCAGUAAAAUCUCAAGCUGUCAGACUAAAUCAUCUCUAAGUCAUACAAGCUUCUGUGCUAGAAAAGUUCUGCUGGAAACUCCUGUGGGAAGUCUGCCGAAGUUAGGACCUGCUCCUCUUCCUGUUCUUUCUCCUUCCAAGCAGAGAUCAAAAAUUAAGAGCAUGGCUGCGGCUGCCGUGUCUGCUGCCAUUGCUGUCCGGGCCAGACUCUACGAACCUAGCGUCUACCGCUCUCUCUUGGAUGCCCUGCUCAUCACGCCUGUCACUAAGCCUCCUCUGCAGGCCAUCGAGCCCUCCAGGAAGUCCACAAGCGCUCUGGAGUUGCAGAAGAGCAAGAGUGAUUCCCUGGAGGCUACCCAUCCCGCUGGUUUUACAGCCGCCUCAGCGAGGAGCAUGCCCGCCUGCCAAGAAAACGCCGAGGUGAGACCUGCUCCCACCAGCGCCACAUCUGCUGCGGCCCUCAAGCCAACGGGACCCCCAGGUGCUACCAAGUACUCCGGCUGGCAGCCUGCAAACCAAGCAGGUAACUCGCAGUGAGGCUUUUUCUUGGUUGCUUAAAGACCUUUGGAUAGCUCAGGGAAAAUAGACUUCACCGUGGGUGUUAAAACAGCAGCCUUCAUAUGGGCU
This 1182-nucleotide long non-coding RNA is filed under the name Calidris pygmaea (Spoon-billed sandpiper). RNAcentral describes it as "lncRNA (ENSCPGG00000004650.1)". Lineage: Eukaryota; Metazoa; Chordata; Aves; Charadriiformes; Scolopacidae. The record is from RNAcentral.